CAGUCGCGCGUUAUUUUCCGACUUUUCUACAUUGAUUUGAACUCGUGUGAGAAUAAUUCAAACAUGUAAUACUUCGCAUGUACGAUUAUCGAUCACUGGAAUCAACGUGAGCAUGUGCGAGCAUCCCGAAAUUUCAAGGAUCCGGCGGAGUUUGCGAUCGCAUCGAAGCCAGCCGUAGUUCCCAUGGAUGCGGGGAGAUGCAGUAUCGGAGAAUACGUGCCAAGCAGGGUCGGCUCGAAGAAUGGAAAGCGGAACGUGACCGGCUCUGACUUCGAAGCGGAUCGGUGAGAAAAAUGGGUUUGAAAACUGCAAGGUGAUGGGAUUCAAGGUGACGGGUGUUGGAAAAUAGUUCUUUUUCUAAUACAUUUUAUUCUAUUUUAAUUCUUCAUUAUGUAAAACGUAAAUAUUUUUGUACUUAUAUAAUAUAAAUAGAUUAUGCUAAAUAAGAAAAGCAAUAUGAAAUUGACCAAAAUGCAAUAUGACAGAAUAAUCAUCUUUAAAAGAUUUUGU
This is a long non-coding RNA of Dinoponera quadriceps, 510 nucleotides long. RefSeq lists it as uncharacterized. Lineage: Eukaryota; Metazoa; Arthropoda; Insecta; Hymenoptera; Formicidae. The record is from RefSeq and is a predicted model, not a curated record. The transcript has 3 exons.